RNAcentral lists this ribosomal RNA (585 nucleotides) under uncultured bacterium. RNAcentral's name for it is "bacterial SSU rRNA". It matches the Rfam family "Bacterial small subunit ribosomal RNA", at positions 338 to 916 of the family's 1533-position model. The record is from RNAcentral.
CCUACGGGAGGCAGCAGUGGGGAAUUUUGGACAAUGGACGCAAGUCUGAUCCAGCCAUGCCGCGUGCGGGAAGAAGGCCUUCGGGUUGUAAACCGCUUUUGUCAGGGAAGAAACGGCUCUGGUUAAUACCUGGGGCUAAUGACGGUACCUGAAGAAUAAGCACCGGCUAACUACGUGCCAGCAGCCGCGGUAAUACGUAGGGUGCAAGCGUUAAUCGGAAUUACUGGGCGUAAAGCGUGCGCAGGCGGUUAUGCAAGACAGAUGUGAAAUCCCCGGGCUCAACCUGGGAACUGCAUUUGUGACUGCAUAGCUAGAGUACGGUAGAGGGGGAUGGAAUUCCGCGUGUAGCAGUGAAAUGCGUAGAUAUGCGGAGGAACACCGAUGGCGAAGGCAAUCCCCUGGACCUGUACUGACGCUCAUGCACGAAAGCGUGGGGAGCAAACAGGAUUAGAUACCCUGGUAGUCCACGCCCUAAACGAUGUCAACUGGUUGUUGGGAGGGUUUCUUCUCAGUAACGAAGCUAACGCGUGAAGUUGACCGCCUGGGGAGUACGGCCGCAAGGUUGAAACGUCAAAGGAUUGACGG